GACGAACGCUGGCGGCGUGCUUAACACAUGCAAGUCGAACGGAAAGGCCCUUCGGGGUACUCGAGUGGCGAACGGGUGAGUAACACGUGGGUGAUCUGCCCUGCACUUUGGGAUAAGCCUGGGAAACUGGGUCUAAUACCGAAUAGGACCACGCGCUUCAUGGUGUGUGGUGGAAAGCUUUUGCGGUGUGGGAUGGGCCCGCGGCCUAUCAGCUUGUUGGUGGGGUAAUGGCCUACCAAGGCGACGACGGGUAGCCGGCCUGAGAGGGUGACCGGCCACACUGGGACUGAGAUACGGCCCAGACUCCUACGGGAGGCAGCAGUGGGGAAUAUUGCACAAUGGGCGCAAGCCUGAUGCAGCGACGCCGCGUGAGGGAUGACGGCCUUCGGGUUGUAAACCUCUUUCACCGGGGACGAAGCGUAAGUGACGGUACCUGGAGAAGAAGCACCGGCCAACUACGUG
Molecule: ribosomal RNA, 462 nt
Filed under: uncultured bacterium
Lineage: Bacteria
Description: partial 16S ribosomal RNA
Rfam family: Bacterial small subunit ribosomal RNA
Source: RNAcentral